Cercocebus atys (sooty mangabey) is the source of this 1577-nucleotide RNA transcript. It is a transcript of the gene named argininosuccinate synthase pseudogene, with no coding region annotated. NCBI's taxonomy places the organism in Eukaryota, Metazoa, Chordata, Mammalia, Primates, Cercopithecidae. The record is from RefSeq and is a predicted model, not a curated record. The transcript has a single exon.
GCUCUGCCGCCUGCCACCGCUGCCCGAGCCCGAGUGGUUCACUGCACCGUGAAGACAGAUUCCAGACGCCAGGAACUCACGCCUCCAAUCCCAGACACUAUGUCCAGCAAAGGCUCCGUGGUUCUGGCCUACAGUGGCGGCCUGGACACCUCGUGCAUCCUCGUAUGGCUGAAGGAACAAGGCUACGACGUCAUUGCCUAUCUGGCCAACAUUGGCCAGAAGGAAGACUUCGAGGAAGCCAGGAAGAAGGCACUGAAGCUUGGGGCCAAAAAGGUGUUCAUUGAGGAUGUCAGCAGGGAGUUUGUGGAGGAGUUCAUCUGGCCGGCCAUCCAGUCCAGCGCACUGUAUGAGGACCGCUACCUCCUGGGCACCUCUCUCGCCAGGCCUUGCAUUGCCCGCAAACAAGUGGAAAUCGCCCAGCAGGAGGGGGCCAAGUAUGUGUCCCGUGGCGCCACGGGAAAGGGGAAUGAUCAGGUCCAGUUUGAGCUCACCUGCUACUUGCUGGCCCCCCAGAUAAAGGUCAUUGCUCCCUGGAGGAUGCCCGAAUUCUACAACCGGUUCAAGGGCCGCAAUGACCUGAUGGAAUACGCAAAGCAACACGGGAUUCCCAUCCCGGUCACCCCCAAGAGCCCAUGGAGUAUGGACGAGAACCUCAUGCACAUCAGCCAGGAGGCUGGAAUCCUGGAGAACCCCAAGAACCAAGCGCCUCCCGGUCUCUACACGAAGACCCAGGACCCGGCCAAAGCCCCCAACACCCCUGACAUUCUCGAGAUCGAGUUCAAAAAAGGGGUCCCCGUGAAGGUGACCAACGUCAAGGAUGGCACCACUCACCAGACCUCCUUGGAGCUCUUCAUGUACCUGAACGAAGUCGCGGGCAAGCAUGGUGUGGGCCGUAUUGACAUCGUGGAGAACCGCUUCAUUGGAAUGAAGUCCCGAGGUAUCUACGAGACCCCAGCAGGCGCCAUCCUUUACCACGCUCAUUUAGAUGAGGCCUUCACCAUGGACGGAGAAGUGCGCAAAAUCAAACAAGGCCUGGGCUUGAAAUUUGCUGAGCUGGUGUAUACCGGUUUCUGGCACAGCCCUCAGUGUGAAUUUGUCCGCCACUGCAUUGCCAAGUCCCAGGAGCAAGUGGAAGGGAAAGUGCAGGUGUCCGUCCUCAAGGGCCAGGUGUACAUCCUCAGCCGGGAGUCCGCACUGUCUCUCUACAACGAGGAGCUGGUGAGCAUGAACGUGCAGGGUGAUUAUGAGCCGAUUGAUGCCACCGGGUUCAUCAACAUCAAUUCCCUCAGGCUGAAGGAAUAUCAUCGUCUCCAGAGCAAGGUCACUGCCAAAUAGACCCCUGUACAAUGUGGAGCUGGGGCCUCCUCAAUUUGCAGAUCCCCCAAGUACAGGCACUAAUUGUUGUGAUAAUUUGUAAUUGUGACUUGCUCUCCCUGGCUGGCAGCGUAGUGGGGCUGCCAGGCCCCAGCUUUGUUCCCUGGUCCCCCUGAAGCCUGCAGACGUUGUGUUGUCACCGAAGGGAAGGGUGGGGGGCAGCUGCGGUGGGGAACUAUAAAAUGACAAUUAAAAGAUUAAAA